UUGCAGCGACCCUCAGCUUCCUUUGAUGUAUGCCUUUGGUUUUGUCAAGUUCUGGUGGAUGGAUGCUGGGGGCCCGAUGAACUUUUGGGGUAUUUAUAGUCUAGAGAGCGCGUGGCACAAAUUAGAAGGUAAUCGGGCGAAGGAACACCCUAGGCCGAUCGACCUAGGGGGGUUCAUGCCGAUCGGCCUGGGCCUUCCUUUCGUCGUCUCGCACCCUCCUUCGUCGUCAAGUCUCCCCUGAUGUUUG
RNAcentral lists this long non-coding RNA (247 nucleotides) under Setaria italica (foxtail millet). Its description in RNAcentral is "long non-coding RNA (SITA_LNC000306)". The record is from RNAcentral. Lineage: Eukaryota; Viridiplantae; Streptophyta; Magnoliopsida; Poales; Poaceae.